This 253-nucleotide ribosomal RNA is filed under the name uncultured bacterium. RNAcentral's name for it is "partial 16S ribosomal RNA". It matches the Rfam family "Bacterial small subunit ribosomal RNA", at positions 524 to 776 of the family's 1533-position model. The record is from RNAcentral.
UACGGAGGGUGCAAGCGUUGUCCGGAUUUAUUGGGUUUAAAGGGUGCGUAGGCGGCCGUUUAAGUCGGCGGUGAAAGUUUAUGGCUCAACCAUGAAAUUGCCGUUGAUACUGGGCGGCUUGAGUGUCGAUGGGGUACAUGGAAUUGAUGGUGUAGCGGUGAAAUGCAUAGAUACCAUCAGGAACACCGAUAGCGAAGGCAUUGUACUUAUCGACAACUGACGCUGAGGCACGAAAGCGCGGGUAUCGAACAGG